This 63-nucleotide microRNA precursor is filed under the name Vombatus ursinus (common wombat). RNAcentral describes it as "miRNA (ENSVURG00010019935.1)". Lineage: Eukaryota; Metazoa; Chordata; Mammalia; Diprotodontia; Vombatidae. The record is from RNAcentral.
UGCUGGAGAUACAAAGAAAGGCAAAAGACAGUGCCUGCCCUCAAGGAGCUCACAGUCGAAUGG